CCGCGCGGCGCUGGCCGCUUCGCUGCAGCCGGGGCUUCGGCGGGGCUGCGGGAGCCGCGCUGGCCGGGCCGCGGCUCCGCCUGUCCUCACCUGCCCGCCCGCCUCACCGCGGAUGGCGCCGGCGACCGGGGCUGCGGGGUGCGCGCGGGCUGCUCGGAGGCGCUGUGGCGGGCGAGGGCGCGGGUGGCUGGAGCACCCGGCCCGCGGCAAGGACCGGCUGGCGGCAGGCGGGGCGCGCGGAGCCCGGGGCUCGGCCGAGACGGAGCGAAAGAGAAACGCAGCUCGGAACUGGCCCUUUAAGAAAACAUUCCGUGUUCGGCGCUCCCGCCCGGGGCCCGCACCCCGGACACUUUAAAAGGACCCAGGUGGCCCCGGAGGCGAGGUGACUAUCCCCCCACCCUGCCCCUGCGUCGCGGCGCGUCGCGCUGCUGCUCCCGCCCCAGCCGGGGCCGAAGAUGGGGCGGCGGCUGCGGUUUUCCACACGACUUCCUUGGAUCUCGGGGCACACGCGCCGAUAGUUCGGACGCGAGUCCGGGCUGGUUUUGCUCCGUUUUACUGCGUUUGAUUACUAAUUUAAAAGCUUUGCGUUCCCCGUCGCCCCGGCCCGCUUUUCUCCUGCAUUCUCCCCUCGGCCCCCGUCCCCGCCCUGCGAUCGCUGGAGGGGGCGUCGGGGCUCGCGCGCCAGAACCCGGCUCCUCCGAAGCCCCCUCCGGGCCCCACCGCCCCCCUCGCGCCUCCCGGCCCCCGCCUCCUCCCCUUCGCCCCCACCCAACGGCUGCUGCUUCGGGCUUCGCGGCUCAAAAACAACAGCGGAGGCGCCGCCAGCUCCGCGCUCCGCCACUGCCCAGGCCGGCGGGCGGCACUCGGACCCGCCGCCCUCGGUCCCUCGCGAGGCCACGGAGGCCAACACGCCUCGCACGGGGGGACAGCGCGGGGGCAGCCGUCCAAACACCAGGCGUCCUCGGCUGGUCGUCCCAGGGCGCCCGCACCUCUCCGCCCGCGCUCUCCUGCCGCCGCGCCCCCAAGCCCCCAAACUCCGAGGCGCUGCGGCGGAGGGGCCGGGCUGAGCGCAGGCAGGGUGGCCCGGGCCCAGGAGCCUGACGGCCUGAGUGCGGAUUUCUCAUCUGAGUAUCUGGGAAUCGAGAAUGAAUUGGAAGGAAACCGAGGCGCUGCCCUGGCCAGGUUGCUGCCCCGCACCCUUCCGGAGCACCGAAGUCCUGCCCGGCAACGGGACUUGGAGCUGCCGCAGAGUCAGCCUGAGCCCGAGGCAGGGGUCGCGCCCGCGAUGCGGGGUCUCUGCGCCGCCCCGCGAGGCUCCUGGCCUUGCCCUCCCUGCCCUUUGUUGUGUAAUAAGACCUGUGGCGGCUCCACUGAGACCCACACGUGCAACUCCGCGCCUCCGCGUUAAAGGAGGUGAAACGCAGCAGCCCUGAGAAACCCCGAGACCCCGGUGUCCUAGCAGAGGCGCCCCGGAUGGGGAGGGGCGCGGGGCCGGCGCCACCCCAGAGGAAAAGCCCAGCGGAGCCGGGUUGGGCAGGAGCUGGCGGCGGCGGUGCGCUGGGCCUUCUGCCUUGGAUCCUCCGCGGUCGGCACCGCUUCCCUGCUCAGAUUCGAACCCAGAUUCGGCUCCCAAGGCUCCCACGGCUCCAGGGUGCCCAGUCUUGCAGCCAGCUCGCCGCCCGAGCCCCGGAUGGAGGAAGCGCUCACUGGCCGCUACCUCUGCUGUUUCUGGCACCAGAGAUUGAGACUGUGAACCUGAACUCCCUUGAUCUCCUCCCGUUGGGCCCAGGAGGGAGCCGAAUCCAGGCCCAACCGGGCUCACUGAGAAGGUGCAGGAAGCCCCCAACGACUCCUACUCGUGUGCGGCCCAUACUGGGCCAGGACGCUGCAGUGGCCGAGCCGCUGGGUGUCUGCAACGGGGAGCUCCCCCGCCGCUGGGGGCAAUAAACGGAAUCGGUUUCACACGCUUUCCCUCUUGAUCUAAGAACCUUUAAAAAUCCGCCAACGAAUGCUGUUGCCUGGAUGCGCUGCCUAUGACCUUCAGCCGUGUGUUCACGCGCGCCCGCAGCCGUGGAGUGGCGGUCCCUCCUGCCGCCCGCAACCCCGGGGCCGCCGGUCUGCGCACACCGGGAGCAACUUCGUUACCCACAGCGCCCGCGUCCUGCGGCUCGCGCGGAACUGCGCGCGGGAAGGUGGCAGAGCGACGCUCCAGAACGCUGCUUGCGUAGACGCUGCCGCUGCCUUCAGAUCCCAAUUCGGCCGCGCGCGGGCGGGGCCCUGGCAGCAACGAAAAUGGCGAGCCUCGUAGCCUUCCGGGCCCGGCGGCCACAUUCCGGGAGUCGCCAGGUGGGAGCCCGCCUUCCGUGUCCCCAAACGCCCAGAGCCCGGGACACGGGCCGGCGGCCGGGUCACCAAGCCAGUUCCCGGAAUCGGCUCGCGCCGGAAUCCAGACUCGGCUUGCAAAGCCCGCUCCUGCCGUCUCUCCGCAGCGCGCCCUGCCCCCCACUGCCGGCCCUCUUAGCUUCAAAACCAAAUUUUGCCUUUCA
This 2546-nucleotide long non-coding RNA is filed under the name Homo sapiens (human). RNAcentral describes it as "non-protein coding LINC00982:18". The record is from RNAcentral. Lineage: Eukaryota; Metazoa; Chordata; Mammalia; Primates; Hominidae.